RNAcentral lists this ribosomal RNA (323 nucleotides) under uncultured bacterium. RNAcentral describes it as "bacterial SSU rRNA". It matches the Rfam family "Bacterial small subunit ribosomal RNA", at positions 28 to 334 of the family's 1533-position model. The record is from RNAcentral.
GAUGAACGCUGGCGGCGUGCUUAACACAUGCAAGUCGAACGGGAAACAUUUUAUUGAAGCUUCGGCAGAUUUAGCUUGUUUCUAGUGGCGGACGGGUGAGUAACGCGUGGGUAACCUGCCUCACACUGGGGGAUAACAGUCAGAAAUGGCUGCUAAUACCGCAUAAGCGCACAGGACCGCAUGGUCUGGUGUGAAAAACUCCGGUGGUAUAAGAUGGACCCGCGUCUGAUUAGCUAGUUGGUGGGGUAACGGCUUACCAAGGCAAUGAUGCAUAGCCGAGUUGAGAGACUGAUCGGCCACAUUGGGACUGAGACACGGCCCAA